Molecule: long non-coding RNA, 213 nt
Filed under: Mytilus galloprovincialis (Mediterranean mussel)
Lineage: Eukaryota; Metazoa; Mollusca; Bivalvia; Mytilida; Mytilidae
Source: RNAcentral
GGUUCAUCUUCAUUUUUUAAAAGAUACUCAUGUGGUCUCAUUUUACAUCAUAUUUAUGAUUCGAGCGUGACGAGUCUUGUAGACUAUGGCGCGUCUGGUGUAAAUAUAAAUUUUUAAUCCUGAGAUCUAAAAUGAGUUUAUUAACAUAUAAUUUGAUUCUUAUACAAAGGCUUUACAUCUGGCUGCUCAGAAUGGACAUCUACAGGUCACAAG